CACGUAGGGUGCGAGCGUUGUCCGGAAUUAUUGGGCGUAAAGAGCUCGUAGGCGGUGUGUCGCGUCGGCCGUGAAAACUUGGGGCUUAACUCUGAGCUUGCGGUCGAUACGGGCAUCACUGGAGUUCGGCAGGGGAGACUGGAAUUCCUGGUGUAGCGGUGAAAUGCGCAGAUAUCAGGAGGAACACCGAUGGCGAAGGCAGGUCUCUGGGCAUUAACUGACGCUGAGGAGCGAAAGCAUGGGGAGCGAACAGG
Molecule: ribosomal RNA, 254 nt
Filed under: uncultured bacterium
Lineage: Bacteria
Description: partial 16S ribosomal RNA
Rfam family: Bacterial small subunit ribosomal RNA
Source: RNAcentral